GUUCCUGUUCGUGGGGCUACAUGUUGCAGUAGUUCGUAUUUGAGGUGGUGGACUGUCUUUAAGUGUGGCAGUCGGAGUCUUACCGUGCAGUUUUAUUAACUCUCAGCUGCAGUGUUGGCUGCUGGAGACUCGGCGGUGCUGCACAGAUCAGACAGAAGAACAAAAAGGCGUGACUUCCACAGACUCUGAAGCUUUACGUGCGAUAUUCUUUUAACACAUCGUGUCCUGUUUCCACGAAGGUUUUUAAAUCCAUAAGGAUCUCUUUCUCAAUGGCGAUACCAGCAGUGAUGACAGCCAACUUGUCAGCAAGAUUUCGCGCUCUUUGCUUUCAAAUUACGUACAUCACUUAAAGCGUGAUUGUGUCACUCAAGGGCAGCUAGAAGGCCUCGACUGGGACAUAUCCUAAAGACCACACCCACCAAGAACAAAUAAAUCAAUCUGAUUGGCUGAUGAAUCUGACAAUCUGACUUUUAGAUGCCUAUUCUCUGCACUGUUUAGGGAUUCUGUUGAAAUUCUGAAGGCAUAACAGGGUGGAGCUCAGACUCACGCGCUGCUUCAGCUAAAGCACUCGGCUUUGGGCAUGUGAUUUGUAAACCAGUUGUCACGCUUCACUUGUAAGGAUCAAGGAAUAAAUUCUGAUUGGAUAAACUAUUCGUUGUUUGCUAUUCAUUUUUAGUGGAGUGUAAAGUGAUUGAAAAUAAAUAGGCAAAAAGGUGAAUGAGAAUGAAUGGAUGAAAAAAUAUUUAUUUAUUUAUUAGACAUCAGAAAGGAGAAGGCUUUGCUGGCCCUGAGAAUUCGCCACUGGAUCUGAGUGACUUUGACAAGGGCCAAAUUGUGAUGGCUAGAAGACUGGUUCAGAGCAUCUCCAAAAUGGCAGGUCUUGUGGGGUGUUCCUGGUAUGCAGUGGUUAGUACCUACCAAAAGUGGUCCAAGGAAGGACAAUUGGUGAACCGACGACAGGGUCAUGGGCGCCCAAGGUUCAUUGAUGCACGUGGGGAGCGAAGGUUAGCCAGUCUGGUCCAGUCCCACAGAAGAGCUACUGUAGCACAAGUUGCUGAAAAACUUAAUGCUGGCCACGAUAGAAAGGUGUCAGAACACACAGUGUAUCACAGCUUGCUGCAUAGCCGCAGACUGGUCAGAGUGCCCUUUCUGACCCCUGUCUACCGCCGAAAGCGCCUACAAUGGGCACGUGAGCGUCAGUAUUGGACAAUGGAGCAAUGGAAGAAGGUGGCCUGGUCUGAUGAAUCACGUUUUCUUUUAGAUCAUAUAGACGGCGGGGUGCGUUGUUUACCUGGGGAAGAGAUGGCAGCAGGAUGCACUAUGGGAAGAAGGCAGGCAGUGUGAUGCUCUGGGUAAUGUUCUGCUGGGAAACUUUGGGUCCUGGCAUUCAUGUGGAUGUUACUUUGACACGUACCACCUACCUAAAGAUUGUUGCAGACCACCUACACCCCUUCAUGGCAACGGUAUUCCCUGAUGGCAGUGGCCUCUUUCAGCAGGAUAAUGCGCCCUGCCACACUGCAAAAAUUGUUCAGGAAUGGUUUGAGGAUCAUGACAAAGAGUUCAAGGUGUUGACUUGGCCUCCAAAUUCCCCAGAUUUCAAUCCAGGUAUGUACUGGACCAGCAAGUCCGAUCCAUGGAGGCCCCACCUUGCAACUUACAGGACUUACAGGAUCUGCUGCUAACGUCUUGGUGCCAGAUACCACAGGACACCUUCAGAGGUCUUGCGGAGUCCAUGCCUCGACGGGCCAGAGCGGUUUUGCAGCACGAAGGGGACCUACAUGAAAUUAGGCAGG
RNA transcript from Myxocyprinus asiaticus (Chinese sucker), 1793 nucleotides. RefSeq lists it as uncharacterized. The transcript is spliced from 3 exons. The record is from RefSeq and is a predicted model, not a curated record. NCBI's taxonomy places the organism in Eukaryota, Metazoa, Chordata, Actinopteri, Cypriniformes, Catostomidae.